Long non-coding RNA from Toxorhynchites rutilus septentrionalis, 743 nucleotides. RefSeq lists it as uncharacterized. The transcript is spliced from 3 exons. The record is from RefSeq and is a predicted model, not a curated record. NCBI's taxonomy places the organism in Eukaryota, Metazoa, Arthropoda, Insecta, Diptera, Culicidae.
GAAAUAAAAGGUGGUGAAAAUCAAGUUAGUAGAAGUGAGAGAAGUUGAAUAAAUUAAAUUGAAGUUAUCGCAGUUCCAUUAAAUUCACGUAGUGAUUAUUCAAAAGAACACAGAUAAGCGACAGCAAAAAUUCAAGUCGAUUAUUAUAACGUUUGAAGUGAGUUAUGAAAAUAUUAUUUUUUCAACUCUUAUAAUUAAAACUGAACUCAAAUUUGGUUGAAAAUUGAUCCGUUGUCAUUAGAGCGGCAUCUGCAAGGAGCAUAGUACGAACCUAUAAUUCUUCGAUCUGUCACAAAGUAAGACCGAUACAAGGAGUUUCGAACUAAGUCCGAACACCAUCUAAGUUCAAGAGCUACGGAACAAUUCUUUUCAUGGUCAUCCCUUUUUCCCGCGGAUAAAAUUGAGCUUCAUCCACCUCUUUAAGUACUACACACCAGGAAUGCACAAAACAGAUGAAUUCAAAAUCGCACAUACUGUGGAUGUUUCCUUGGGCGGUACCUUUACGGUUCAGAUGUUUCUUUGGAUGGCAAAAAAAGUUGUAAAGCUUCUACAAUUCCAACAAGGCUACUACAUAGGCUGAAAAGUCCCGGGAUUUUUGAAAAGACGGCGUCACUAAAAAUGAACAAGAUUCAUUUCGAGCUGAUCAUCCGUCACUUGCUUAUGCGUGAGGUUUCAUGACAUUUGGUUUUUUUGUUCACAAACAACAGUUGUUUAAGUGUCACUUCCUGAGCAUUCGUAUAGAA